Molecule: ribosomal RNA, 460 nt
Filed under: uncultured bacterium
Lineage: Bacteria
Description: partial 16S ribosomal RNA
Rfam family: Bacterial small subunit ribosomal RNA
Source: RNAcentral
CCUACGGGUGGCAGCAGUGAGGAAUAUUGGUCAAUGGACGCAAGUCUGAACCAGCCAUGCCGCGUGCAGGAAGACGGCUCUAUGAGUUGUAAACUGCUUUUGUACGAGGGUAAAUCCCGAUACGUGUAUCGGGGUGAAAGUAUCGUACGAAUAAGGAUCGGCUAACUCCGUGCCAGCAGCCGCGGUAAUACGGAGGAUUCAAGCGUUAUCCGGAUUUAUUGGGUUUAAAGGGUGCGUAGGCGGUUCGAUAAGUUAGAGGUGAAAUCCCGGGGCUCAACUCCGGCACUGCCUCUGAUACUGUCAGGCUAGAGUUUAGUUGCGGUAGGCGGAAUGUAUGGUGUAGCGGUGAAAUGCAUAGAGAUCAUACAGAACACCGAUUGCGAAGGCAGCUUACCAAACUACGACUGACGUUGAGGCACGAAAGCGUGGGGAGCAAACAGGAUUAGAUACCCCUGUAGUC